Molecule: regulatory RNA element, 83 nt
Organism: Paenirhodobacter enshiensis
Lineage: Bacteria; Pseudomonadati; Pseudomonadota; Alphaproteobacteria; Rhodobacterales
Rfam family: chrB-a RNA
Source: Rfam
AGCAUGGGGAUUGCGAGCUCCCCACGAGGCGCCAGCCGAAGAUCGCGUUCCUGUUCAACCCCGGCGACGGAGGAACGCACAUG